Molecule: long non-coding RNA, 1567 nt
Organism: Ruditapes philippinarum (Manila clam)
Lineage: Eukaryota; Metazoa; Mollusca; Bivalvia; Venerida; Veneridae
Exons: 3
Source: RefSeq, a predicted model, not a curated record
CAUUAAAUACCGUAUUCCGGUAUAUACCGGACAAGGCGUUAAAAUGCAAGUGUCACUCACGUGUUUAAUUGUACUCCAUAACUGUAGUAAGUUAAUUACAUCAUAAUUUAUGAUUAUACAUCUUUUUUACUUGCAGUGGUUGGUCGCAAUAAUUUGGCUGCUCAGAAAGGACGUCCGGGCCCUCCAGAAAAAGCUCAGACAGGCAUAGAUUCGACAAAAACAGCAAAAGAAAACAACCUGAAAGUGGUAUCAAAGGACGAAAAGCAAACAAAGAAUCGACAAGUUACUUCUUCUGCUGAAAAGCAUGUCUACUUCUCGUUGGCAUUAACUAAGACGCUGAAAGAUGUAAGUGCUAACCACGUGAUCAUUUUUGACUUGGUUUAUAGCAAUGAAGGGUUUGGAUAUAAUAUUAAAACAGGAAUGUUCAUAGCCCCAGUUAAAGGAACAUACUUCUUGAUGUUCUUUGUUGAAGUAUUAAAUGUAAAGGGAAAAGCAGCUCAUGUCAACCUUUUUGUAGACGGCAAGGAAAAAGCAUCUGCGCGUGCAGAGGCGUGGCAUGACGGACAGGAUGUGACGUCAGCAAAUGCAGUCGUGAUGCAUUUAUCAAAAGGGCAGAAAGUCUGGCUACAAACAGCGGCACCGCUGAAUAAAAUGCAUGACAUUGAUAAAAGGAAAACAACAUUUACUGGAGUUUUACUGUAUCAAUGAAUGAAAACAAUCACAAUACAAGUCAACAGGAUAAUGUGUUCUACAACAAACGAAUUGUAUAUUUCAUUUGUAAAAUCGGUUUCAUAAUUUCAUCAUUUAUUUCCAGAGUUGAAAAUCCUGGGGUAUAAUUUUUCAACUGCAGAAUUUUUGUUUGGUUUUGGUUUAUGUUUUUUCCUAUUGUUAUUCUUCUUGUUUGUGUGUGCAUAAACACAUAUAAUUUUCACACAUAUGCGGGCGAUACAUAGUAUUUUUUACUUAGGAUUUGAUCAACAUCGAGUCAGUACAUUACAACUGUUACGUAAUUAUUAAAGGGAUUCUCGGGAAAAUUAAUGACAAAUAUAUCAAAAUUAUCUUAUGUACUCAAAUCACGCUAAAUUGACUUUUGUUAAAGUUCCAGCAUGAAUUUCUGUAUAAAUUCUAUAUAUUUUGGGUUUGAAGCGUAAAUAUAUCUAUGUAUACAUGUUGAACGAAAUUUAGACACCAACAGAAUCAUAGAGCAGUUUGAAAACAAGUCAUGUGACAACAAACCCUGGAAGGUAUAAUAUCAGAAAUUGUGGAUAUUGUAUGAUUGAAACAAACCUAAAUCAUUCAUUUGACAUGUUCAAUAACGUUUCCAGGGUUCACUGAUACAACUAUUGUGGUUUCUUAACGCUCUAAUCAGACCCACGUGGAUCACAAAUUCGUUUCCUUGAGUCUUUUUAAAAUGUUCUUCACCAUAUAGAUUUUUCUUAUAACCAAAUUAUUGUAAACCGUCAGAUUUAUUCCCGGAUCAAAACAUCUGAAUAAUAAACUGCAACAUUUAUCAUAUAAAAACAAGUUGAAAAAAUUCUGCAAGAGCUAGUAAAACUAUCUAAUUUUC